ACCCUAAGAAAAUUUGUAGCAGAAGAAGAAUUACUAUUUGGUGUUGGAGAGAAAGAACAUCUACCUAACAUCAAAAAGCUGUCAAAUCGGAUUUCAUUGAUUGAAGCUAGAACGCAAAGGAAUAUAAUAAAGAAAAAUGAGGAAAUGAUGAAACGCCGGCCACUUGGUUUGUAUGUCUUCAUUGUAUCAUGUAAAGCAAAGAUUUGUGAAGGAGAAAAG
This 219-nucleotide long non-coding RNA is filed under the name Nicotiana benthamiana. RNAcentral's name for it is "long non-coding RNA (NBEN_LNC010690)". Lineage: Eukaryota; Viridiplantae; Streptophyta; Magnoliopsida; Solanales; Solanaceae. The record is from RNAcentral.